UACGUAGGGUGCGAGCGUUAAUCGGAAUUACUGGGCGUAAAGCGUGCGCAGGCGGUUUUGUAAGCCAGAUGUGAAAGCCCCGGGCUCAACCUGGGAAUGGCAUUUGGGACUGCAAGGCUGGAGUAUGGCAGAGGAGACUAGAAUUCCUGGUGUAGCAGUGAAAUGCGUAGAUAUCAGGAGGAAUACCGAUGGCGAAGGCAGGUCUCUGGGCCAAUACUGACGCUCAUGCACGAAAGCGCGGGGAGCAAACAGG
RNAcentral lists this ribosomal RNA (253 nucleotides) under uncultured bacterium. RNAcentral's name for it is "partial 16S ribosomal RNA". It matches the Rfam family "Bacterial small subunit ribosomal RNA", at positions 524 to 776 of the family's 1533-position model. The record is from RNAcentral.